AACGCACCUUGCGCCCUUUGGUAUUCCGAAGGGCAUGCCUGUUUGAGUGUCAUUAAAUUAUCAACCUUCUUGCUUUGCUUGCAAAGCAUCUAGGCUUGGAUGUGGGGGUUUUUGCUGGCUUCCUUCAGUGGAUGGUCUGCUCCCCUUAAAUGCAUUAGCGGGAUCUCUUGUGGACCGUCACUUGGUGUGAUAAUUAUCUAUACCACUUGGCCUUGAAGCAAAUCUUAUGAGGACCCGCUCAUAACCGUCCCCUCUGGGACAACUCCUGACAUUUUGACCUCAAAUCAGGUAGGACUACCCGCUGAACUUAA
Molecule: unclassified non-coding RNA, 311 nt
Filed under: Hyphodontia sp.
Lineage: Eukaryota; Fungi; Basidiomycota; Agaricomycetes; Hymenochaetales; Schizoporaceae
Description: partial contains 5.8S ribosomal RNA, internal transcribed spacer 2, and large subunit ribosomal RNA
Rfam family: 5.8S ribosomal RNA (bases 1-52)
Source: RNAcentral